ACGCUCGACACCUACGGGAGCAGCAGUAGGGAAUCUUCCACAAUGGACGCAAGUCUGAUGGAGCAACGCCGCGUGAGUGAAGAAGGUUUUCGGAUCGUAAAGCUCUGUUGUUGGUGAAGAAGGAUAGAGGUAGUAACUGGCCUUUAUUUGACGGUAAUCAACCAGAAAGUCACGGCUAACUACGUGCCAUCAGCCGCGGUAAUCUGAGCGGGCUGGCAAGGC
This 222-nucleotide ribosomal RNA is filed under the name uncultured bacterium. RNAcentral describes it as "partial 16S ribosomal RNA". It matches the Rfam family "Bacterial small subunit ribosomal RNA", at positions 328 to 539 of the family's 1533-position model. The record is from RNAcentral.